AUUGGACCCAAUGUUAAAGUUUUUGUUUUUUUUUGGGUUUCAUUGAGAAAUGUAUGUUAGGAAAAAGUUCUUUGUGAUCGAUUAUUUUAUCACCGCCUUAAGUUAAGGUUGAUUUCUCAACACUUUUGGGAUAACGUUCCACAAUAGAAGUUAUGUUUGAUACGUGCAUGUCUCAACAUUAUUGUACAAAGAGAUUGUACAUUGGCCAGUUGGAGAAACCAAUUUCCCUUUUUUAUAUGUAGUUCCAUUUGAAUGAUUGUAUUCUAUGUGCUUGA
This 275-nucleotide unclassified non-coding RNA is filed under the name Hevea brasiliensis (rubber tree). The record is from RNAcentral. Lineage: Eukaryota; Viridiplantae; Streptophyta; Magnoliopsida; Malpighiales; Euphorbiaceae.